This is a long non-coding RNA of Oenanthe melanoleuca, 1234 nucleotides long. RefSeq lists it as uncharacterized. The record is from RefSeq and is a predicted model, not a curated record. NCBI's taxonomy places the organism in Eukaryota, Metazoa, Chordata, Aves, Passeriformes, Muscicapidae. The transcript has 3 exons.
AUCUGAGUUUGGGCUCUGGGAUCUAAAUUUGGGCUCUGGGAUCUGAGUUUGGGCUCUGGGGUUUGGGAUAUAAAUUUGGGCUCUGGGAUUUGGGAUGCUGGUGAGAAAUUUCACUGCAUGACAUCCCGUGUUUCUGCUGGUGCACCUGGAUAUUAAAUCCUGCCUCCGUGCCUGGUGAUUAAACCGAGCCUGUGGGCUUGAUGGAGAAGAGGGAGCGGGAUGAAGGCACUGGCACAGACAUCCAUCUCCUCCCUGCUCUGUGCUCCUGCUUCCAACCACACCACGGGGAGUAAAUCACCCCAAACCACGGGGAGUAAAUCACCGACACUCCAGCCAGGAGGGAACAAAUCCCAGUGGGAGCCGUGCUGGCAGAGCCAUGCCAGGGUCACUGGCUGUGAGCCCUGCCUGUCCCUCAUGUCCCUGCCUGUCCCUCGUGUCCUGCCUGCCCCAGGGUCUCUCCAGCACUGCUGCCAUCCCUCGGGACCCUGCUGGAGAGAUGGACACACAGACAUACUGAAACUGCCAUUUCUUGCCUGGUUUUUUCAUCACUUUACUGCACAAGACCCACCUCUGCAGCUGCUGAAUAAAACCUGCUAAACUGCAGGAUCCAGCCCCCCCACCACCGUGCCCCCCGACACUUUUUCCCCUGGUGCUCCGGACUGCCAGGUGCUUUCCUGUGUUCUGCUGGAGCAGGUCCAGCCUCAUCCUUUCUCUGCGUGCUCCGGGGAUUGGGAAAGGGGUCAUUCUCUGCGGGAGGGAGGAGAUGGCAGCUUCUUGAAGCCUUGGACGUCUCUUCCCUGGCCAACUUCCCCCAUCCCAGCAGGCACAGCUGCAUCCCUGCUCCCUGUGGGAAAGGAGCCAGGGCUGUCAGCCCCAGAGCUGGGAGGAUGCUUUGCAAACGUGCUCCCGAGGCUUCUCUUGCAUCCCCGAUUGCCACGGACCCGGGAUUCGCAAGGGCACACACUGAGUGCCUGUGGUGCACGGGGUACCCGGGUGCGAUGGAGCACACGGGAUGGAAAGGGUGCAUGGGAUACCCGGGGAAGCACACGGGAUGGAAAGGGUGCAUGGCAUACCCAGGAGGAGCACACGGGAUGGAAAGGGUGCAAGGCAUACCCGGGGGGAGCACACGGGAUGGAAAGGGUGCAUGGGAUACCCGGGGGGAGCACACGGGAUGGAAAGGGUGCAAGGCAUACCCGGGGGGAGCACACGGGAUGGAAAGGGUGCAUGGCAUACC